Molecule: non-coding RNA, 30 nt
Filed under: Rattus norvegicus (Norway rat)
Lineage: Eukaryota; Metazoa; Chordata; Mammalia; Rodentia; Muridae
Source: RNAcentral
GUGGCUAAUGGUAUCUUCAGUGCGCUACGG